This 433-nucleotide ribosomal RNA is filed under the name uncultured bacterium. RNAcentral describes it as "partial 16S ribosomal RNA". It matches the Rfam family "Bacterial small subunit ribosomal RNA", at positions 29 to 507 of the family's 1533-position model. The record is from RNAcentral.
AACGAACGCUGGCGGCAUGCCUAACACAUGCAAGUCGAACGAGACCUUCGGGUCUAGUGGCGCACGGGUGCGUAACGCGUGGGAACCUGCCCUUAGGUUCGGAAUAACUCCCCGAAAGGGGUGCUAAUACCGGAUAAUGUCUUCGGACCAAAGAUUUAUCGCGUUUGGAUGGGCCCGCGUUGGAUUAGCUAGUUGGUAGGGUAAAAGCCUACCAAGGCGACGAUCCAUAGCUGGUCGGAGAGGAUGAUCCUCCACACUGGGACUGAGACACGGCCCAGACUCCUACGCGAGGCAGCAGUGGGGAAUAUUGGACAAUGGGCGAAAGCCUGAUCCAGCAAUGCCGCGUGAGUGAUGAAGGCCUUAGGGUUGUAAAGCUCUUUUACCCGGGAUGAUAAUGACAGUACCGGGAGAAUAAGCUCCGGCUAACUCCGUG